GGCGAGUAGCGAACGGGUGAGUAAUACAUCGGAACGUACCCAGAAGUGGGGGAUAAC
This 57-nucleotide ribosomal RNA is filed under the name uncultured Massilia sp. RNAcentral's name for it is "partial 16S ribosomal RNA". The record is from RNAcentral. Lineage: Bacteria; Pseudomonadati; Pseudomonadota; Betaproteobacteria; Burkholderiales; Oxalobacteraceae.